Molecule: long non-coding RNA, 517 nt
Filed under: Meleagris gallopavo (turkey)
Lineage: Eukaryota; Metazoa; Chordata; Aves; Galliformes; Phasianidae
Description: lncRNA (ENSMGAG00000022782.1)
Source: RNAcentral
UAGACCUCCUCCAGUGUUAAAACAUAGUUGAGGUUGGAAGACAAAACUUCUGUAGAGAUAAGUUAGGGGGGCAAGUUAUGGUUCUCCAUUGUUGGUAGAAACUUCUUGGAGACAAGUAAGUAUUCAGUCAUUAGUUGCCUGUAUCAUUCUUCUGGGGUACUUCUAAGUGACUGUCCACAUAUCAAUACGAUUUAGCUGUUCUCAGGUACAAAACAACCAAUUCUGUGUUAUUUUUUUUUCUCUGAAGUGGAAAGCUUAGUGCUGUCAUUAUCACCACAAGGGAUGGGAGUCAUGAGCUGAAAUGCAUGUGGCUGCAGUCAUCUCAGAUAUUCACCAGUAUCCUGCCCAAGUCUGGAAGGCCAUUUGUGCUACCUGGCAGAAUUGAAGAUGAUGGAAAAUGAGCAGUCCUUUUAGAUCUUACUCUCUGCUGUCAUCUUUGUUUCUUGCACUCUUUUCUUCAUUCUGUGCUGUAGUUGAAUGCAUCUUCAGACUUACUGUGUCAACAGUCAGAUUUGGA